RNAcentral lists this ribosomal RNA (234 nucleotides) under uncultured bacterium. RNAcentral's name for it is "partial 16S ribosomal RNA". It matches the Rfam family "Bacterial small subunit ribosomal RNA", at positions 97 to 334 of the family's 1533-position model. The record is from RNAcentral.
GGCGGACGGGUGAGUAAUGCUUAGGAAUCUGCCCAGUAGUGGGGGACAACUCGGGGAAACUCGAGCUAAUACCGCAUACGCCCUACGGGGGAAAGCAGGGGAUCUUCGGACCUUGCACUAUUGGAUGAGCCUAAGUCGGAUUAGCUUGUUGGUGAGGUAAAGGCUCACCAAGGCGACGAUCCGUAGCUGGUCUGAGAGGACGAUCAGCCACACUGGGACUGAGACACGGCCCAG